CAGUCGCCACGGGAAUACGUAGGGUGCAAGCGUUAAUCGGAAUUACUGGGCGUAAAGCGUGCGCAGGCGGUUAUAUAAGACAGAUGUGAAAUCCCCGGGCUCAACCUGGGAACUGCAUUUGUGACUGUAUAGCUAGAGUACGGCAGAGGGGGAUGGAAUUCCGCGUGUAGCAGUGAAAUGCGUAGAUAUGCGGAGGAACACCGAUGGCGAAGGCAAUCCCCUGGGCUUGUACUGACGCUCAUGCACGAAAGCGUGGGGAGCAAACAGGAUUAGAUACCCGCGUAGUCCCUGUCUCUUAUAC
Molecule: ribosomal RNA, 301 nt
Filed under: uncultured bacterium
Lineage: Bacteria
Description: partial 16S ribosomal RNA
Rfam family: Bacterial small subunit ribosomal RNA
Source: RNAcentral